RNAcentral lists this long non-coding RNA (624 nucleotides) under Oryzias sinensis (Chinese medaka). Its description in RNAcentral is "lncRNA (ENSOSIG00000008270.1)". The record is from RNAcentral. Lineage: Eukaryota; Metazoa; Chordata; Actinopteri; Beloniformes; Adrianichthyidae.
UGGAGAUUGUUCUCACCUGUUCUAAGUCAAUACCACACCUGCACCUCUUGUUUGUCAGGAUCUCAGCAUUCAUGUCAAGCUUUUCAAUUUCUUCUGCCUUCAAGUCCUUCAUCUGAACUCCACACACCGAAAGUCAUGAAAGCAUCCAUCGAGCUCACAAUCGACAGAAGAAACAAGAAGAGCCGCCCCGUUUGCUCAGGCUGAUGAAAGCAGACCCGGAGGGUCUUUUAGUUAGUGCCUGACAGAAGCAGCAGCCGCAGAGAGGUGCCUGGUGCUACCGGAGGUGUGACAGAGUCCCAGCCCACCGUACAUUGAUUCACACAGGAUUAAGCUACUGCAGAAUGCUGCAGGCGGAAGGCUCGGCGCAGGUGAUUUACCGUCACUGUCAGACUUAACAUCACCGGACACCUCUGCCCUGCUCCCGUCUGCUGUGGAGGGACUACGCAAAACCAUCUGCCACUGCACCACCCAAAGGCAUGACUCACCCUCAUCUCACACAGGCCUUAAUGGGGAAGAAAUGUGUCUGCCAUAACCCCAUCAUCAAAGGAAGACACCCGUAAUCAAUCACAAAAAGCAAAGACAUCCCGUUCCACGAAUGAACAAGAGGUGAAGCGUCUAACCGGC